GAAUGGGGCAUGAAUGGGUUCUGGGGUGUGUGUGUGUUAUGGGGCACGACUGUGGCAGUGGGGCGUGUGUGGGUGUCCCCACGUGUCCCCAAGUGUGUCCCCCCCCCCCUCCCCUUGGGCCCAUGGCGGUGCCAGCAGCGGGCGGCACAAUGCGGCACAAUGUCCCCAUUCACAGCACGGGGACGGGGACACGCGCGGCGCUGGCCGCAGCCAACCCACAGAUGUGGGGCGCGGGAACCCCAACCCCAAAUACAUGGGGCACACCAACCCCCAAACCCCAUAGAUUUGGGACUCAAGACCCCCGACCCCAAACAUAUGGGGCUCACCGACCCCAAACCCCAUAGAUUUGGGACUCAAGACCCCAAAUCCCAAACAUAUGGGGCACACUGACCCCAAACCCCAUAGAUUUGGCACUCAAGACCCCAAACCCCAAACAUAUGGGGCUCACCGACCCCAGACCCCCUUCGGACCCCAAACCCCAUAGAUUUGGGACUCCAGACCCCAAACCCCAAACAUAUGGGGCACACCGACCCCAAACCCCAUAGAUCUGGCACUCCAGACCCCAAACCCCAAACAUAUGGGGCUCACCGACCCCCCCUACCCCCUCCAGACCCCAAACCCCAAAUCUAUGGGGCCGGCUGAUCCCUUGUUCCGCGGCCCCACCCCCC
This 668-nucleotide long non-coding RNA is filed under the name Numida meleagris (helmeted guineafowl). Its description in RNAcentral is "lncRNA (ENSNMEG00000002594.1)". The record is from RNAcentral. Lineage: Eukaryota; Metazoa; Chordata; Aves; Galliformes; Numididae.